CCUUGCUUAAGAGAAAUUUCUCUUAUGAAAGACUUGGAACAUGAAAACUUGGUUAGGUUUCGGGAUGCUUUUUUAUAUAAAAAAGUGCAUUUGGUGAUGGACUCUUUGAAUACCAGCCUGGGGGCCUUCUUGAAUGCAACUUGAAUGAGGCAGCUUGAGAAUGUUUACCAUAUCUUACCACCAGAGACGCAAAUACUGUUAGAUAUAACACAUAAGAAGUUUAAUCUUUUCAUGAAAAAGUUUUUGCUUUAAAUUUUGGUACGUGUCUCAUAUUUACACUCUCAUGAUAUCCUUCACCGAGAUCUUAAACCCGACAAUGUGCUGAUAAAUACCAAGGACGAAAUUGUGAAGAUUAUUGAUUUUAAUUUAGCCAGAAUGGGUGGUGCUCAUUAUGGAAGAUAUUCUUAUGAUGUUUCAACGGUGGCAUAUAGAGCUCCCGAAGCCCUAUUAGGUUCAGGGCAUACCAAAGCAUCUGACAUGUGGUCUGUUGGCUUUAUAAUGUUUUUUUUAUAU
Molecule: long non-coding RNA, 513 nt
Organism: Pistacia vera
Lineage: Eukaryota; Viridiplantae; Streptophyta; Magnoliopsida; Sapindales; Anacardiaceae
Exons: 4
Source: RefSeq, a predicted model, not a curated record